CCUACGGGCGGCAGCAGUGGGGAAUAUUGCACAAUGGGCGCAAGCCUGAUGCAGCCAUGCCGCGUGUGUGAAGAAGGCCUUCGGGUUGUAAAGCACUUUCAGCGGGGAGGAAGGCGGUGAGGUUAAUAACCUCAUCGAUUGACGUUACCCGCAGAAGAAGCACCGGCUAACUCCGUGCCAGCAGCCGCGGUAAUACGGAGGGUGCAAGCGUUAAUCAGAAUUACUGGGCGUAAAGCGCACGCAGGCGGUCUGUCAAGUCGGAUGUGAAAUCCCCGGGCUCAACCUGGGAACUGCAUUCGAAACUGGCAGGCUAGAGUCUUGUAGAGGGGGGUAGAAUUCCAGGUGUAGCGGUGAAAUGCGUAGAGAUCUGGAGGAAUACCGGUGGCGAAGGCGGCCCCCUGGACAAAGACUGACGCUCAGGUGCGAAAGCGUGGGGAGCAAACAGGAUUAGAUACCCCUGUAGUC
RNAcentral lists this ribosomal RNA (465 nucleotides) under uncultured Klebsiella sp. RNAcentral describes it as "bacterial SSU rRNA". It matches the Rfam family "Bacterial small subunit ribosomal RNA", at positions 338 to 795 of the family's 1533-position model. Lineage: Bacteria; Pseudomonadati; Pseudomonadota; Gammaproteobacteria; Enterobacterales; Enterobacteriaceae. The record is from RNAcentral.